GUUAUUGCCGGACUGUGCUAAAUGAUAAUCUAAUUGGCUGCGCUAAAUACUGUAUUUGACCAUGCAAUGUCUGUCUGCUUGUGGGCAACUUGUAAUGUUCGUGUUGCAGUUAUAUGGGAUCUCGCCUGGAUGGGCUGUCUGGAUCGCCUAAGCCACUGAACAUAUAGUUGCAAAUAGGAGUUUCUCUGAUAGAUUUUGAUCUAU
Molecule: non-coding RNA, 204 nt
Organism: Paramuricea clavata
Lineage: Eukaryota; Metazoa; Cnidaria; Anthozoa; Malacalcyonacea; Plexauridae
Source: the annotation of a GenBank genome assembly